RNAcentral lists this ribosomal RNA (625 nucleotides) under Streptomyces sp. Sp080513SC-09. RNAcentral's name for it is "bacterial SSU rRNA". It matches the Rfam family "Bacterial small subunit ribosomal RNA", at positions 14 to 656 of the family's 1533-position model. Lineage: Bacteria; Bacillati; Actinomycetota; Actinomycetes; Kitasatosporales; Streptomycetaceae. The record is from RNAcentral.
UGAUCCUGGCUCAGGACGAACGCUGGCGGCGUGCUUAACACAUGCAAGUCGAACGAUGAAGCCCUUCGGGGUGGAUUAGUGGCGAACGGGUGAGUAACACGUGGGCAAUCUGCCCUUCACUCUGGGACAAGCCCUGGAAACGGGGUCUAAUACCGGAUAACACUCUGUCCCGCAUGGGACGGGGUUAAAAGCUCCGGCGGUGAAGGAUGAGCCCGCGGCCUAUCAGCUUGUUGGUGGGGUAAUGGCCUACCAAGGCGACGACGGGUAGCCGGCCUGAGAGGGCGACCGGCCACACUGGGACUGAGACACGGCCCAGACUCCUACGGGAGGCAGCAGUGGGGAAUAUUGCACAAUGGGCGAAAGCCUGAUGCAGCGACGCCGCGUGAGGGAUGACGGCCUUCGGGUUGUAAACCUCUUUCAGCAGGGAAGAAGCGAAAGUGACGGUACCUGCAGAAGAAGCGCCGGCUAACUACGUGCCAGCAGCCGCGGUAAUACGUAGGGCGCAAGCGUUGUCCGGAAUUAUUGGGCGUAAAGAGCUCGUAGGCGGCUUGUCACGUCGGAUGUGAAAGCCCGGGGCUUAACCCCGGGUCUGCAUUCGAUACGGGCUAGCUAGAGUGUGGUAGGG